Molecule: long non-coding RNA, 358 nt
Filed under: Ananas comosus (pineapple)
Lineage: Eukaryota; Viridiplantae; Streptophyta; Magnoliopsida; Poales; Bromeliaceae
Description: long non-coding RNA (ACOM_LNC026115)
Source: RNAcentral
AUACAUUAACAAAAUAUUUAGUUCCAUAUUAUGAUAUAUUAAAUAGGAGCUAAGCUGGAAUACUAUUUAUAGCAAAAGAUGUUUUGUGCUAUCAGGUUUUUAAUUCUUGGAUGAAAAUUGUAGGGUUAGGAUGUUAUUAGUCCCUUAGAAUUGAGUGGUUCUUCUAGGGUUGAGUGGUCCCCACCGGGUUAUAAUAUUUAAUCCAAUGGUUAGAAAUAAUGAAAGAAAUUGAUCUAAAAGUUAAAAACUUGAUAGCAAAAAAUGCCUUUUACUAUUAAUAGUAUUCUAGCUCAACUCUAUUAAAUAGUAUUAUUAUAUAUAGAGAGAGUAAAUAUAUGUUACAUAUUAUUAUAUAUAG